This is a long non-coding RNA of Neopelma chrysocephalum (saffron-crested tyrant-manakin), 4320 nucleotides long. RefSeq lists it as uncharacterized. The record is from RefSeq and is a predicted model, not a curated record. NCBI's taxonomy places the organism in Eukaryota, Metazoa, Chordata, Aves, Passeriformes, Pipridae. The transcript is spliced from 2 exons.
GUGUGGGACAGCAGGCAGUGACCAUGCCCCCCAUCCUACCUCCCCACCUUCAUCCUUCCAUCCCUCAGUGCUUUGCUCCCACAGCCCCACGUCUGCUGGUCCAGCUCCCUGAGCCUGGGAAGCGCUGGGUAGGGAACGGUGGCCAAGGCUGGAGCUGGGAGGAAGUGGAGUGUUGGAAGCAGGACUGUUUUAGAUGGCAAGCAGGAUGUCCCUCUAUAAAAGCGAGACACUCGAGCUGUGUGUGGUGGCAUUUUAAUGUGCUUUUAUCAAAGCAGCCACGUCCUUUUUUGUCAUUGUUUUAUGUUCGUUUUUAAACCUCCAUUAAACUACACAAGCCUUGGUUUUCAAACCCUGAUUACAGAGGUUGCUGCCAUGUUUGUUGGUGGAAAAUAUUGAAAACUGGACCUGCCAUUUUUCUUUCUUUUUUUGUUUCCUUUAAACCCUUUGUGCUUCUGUUGGUUGCUCACAGUUAUCUUCCAGCUGACAAACUUUUGCAUCCUAUUUUUUUUUUUUUUUUUUGUCACAGAACUACACAUUUUGUAACCAGCCUCUUGAAGGUAACAUAAGGCAGCUAAUUAGUUGGAUUUCUGGUAGCACAUGCUACCAGAUUCGUAAUCCUGUUUGGAUUUUAGAGAGCUCUUAGAUGUGAUACACUAAUAUGAUCAGGAAGGACACUUGGCUGAAUCCAUAGGGAGCCUGAGGAUGCUGAGCACAGUGUGGAGCCUCAGAUGGGGAAUGGAAUAUUAAUGCAGCAGCCGAGUGAUUUGUCUUGUGUGGUUCAUAGCCCUGGUUUUUAUUGAGGCUGGUAAAUUACUUUACCUUGGCUUAUAAAAAUUUCAAGUUCUCUAACGUUCUUUACUCUCAUGAAACUACUGUUGCCGUUACAAUAAAGAUGAUCGUUGUUUCGAUUGUAAAUCUUGCAUUUUUGAAGUGGUUCAACUUUCCCAGAGCAGCUUAAGGCUGAAGUACCAGUCUUGAAAAAGAAGUGAAUGUAAAAUCCCCUCUCCUCUCCCACACCUCUUCCCUGAUUUCUGGGAGAGCAGAGUCUCUUGCAUUCCCUCUGCUCCUAGUCCUGUGCUUCUUGGGGAAUAUGGGAAAAGAAAUGGCCAUAUUUUAAAAACCAUUUUGGGGUUUUUAAACACUCUUGCAAGUGUUUGGUUCACAGAGUUGUUCCCCUUCAAUCCAGACUGUGUUUCAAGCUACUCUUGCCCAUUGGGUUCUUAGGGUGUUUUUUUUUUUUGGUAUUAAAACGUGCAAGGAUUAUUCCAGUUCAUCUGGUCAAACAGCUGGUUCUUCACCUGCUGGACCAGAUCUUUUCUGAAGAGGGUAUUUUGUAAGUUCCACUUCAAAUACAUAUUUUUGGGGUCUUUUUUUUUCCCCAGCAUGGUUAAGAAAAGUCAAGGCUGUGAAAAAAUCUUGUUUCCCUUGUUCUCAGCUCAGGUUUUGGGACUGGAUUGUUUUAUGCCUGGCGAGUUUGGCCCUUUAUCUCACAGAACUGUUCUUUUUUUGUUUUCCUCACACCUUCAUUUCUCGUGGCUGUUCCAUGAUGCUUAUUUUCUGAGUUUGUCACGUCCCAAACACUAUGUAAAUCCCAUGCUUUGGGGAUUUUGGAACUUUUUCUAAAUCUUCCUGUCUUGCUGAUUUAUGCAAACACUAAGCCCUGAUGGUCUCUUGGCUGCUCUGUUAGAAGUGCAGCAGUUUACAUUCAUAUUUUUAUUACAUUUAAUUAUUUUUAGCACACCCCAUUUUUCAGCAGCAGCAGCAGCUUCACAUUUUUCAAUGUCCUUUCUUAAUUAAUUUGUGUUAAGCAUUCUGAUUUCUUGAAGGAAAGCUGUGCAAAUGCCUUUCUUUGGGAGGAUGAAUGGUUCUUCGUGGAGCAGAAAGUUUUGUUCACAGGAGGCUUUGAAAAUCUUGUUCCAUAGCUGUAGUUUUGGAGCCUCUGCAGAGAGGUAAAUGGAUUUAUUCCAAAGUUUUAGUUAGUCUCGAGUUCUGCCCUGAUCUUACCAUUUAAAAACUAGUAGUUUAUAACUUGUAUUAUACAUUCUUUUGGAGAUUCUAAAUCCACACCACCACGCUGAGUUUUGCAGUUUAUGCCAAUAGUCCUGCCUUGAACGAGGUUUGAUCAAAAUUGGCAGUUUUGGUUGGAAUUUUAUAUUUAAGGUGAUUUGCUUCAGUUUCUGAUCAGCCUGGGAAUGCCAACCAUGCUGAGCUAAACGGGUUUCCGAGUGGACUCUGGGGGAGAGCCUGACAAAAACGGGGCAGCUGAGAAGCUUUUCAUUUGGUUUUAACUUCAUCAAAGCAGAAGAGUGUGAGGGGAGAGAAGCAGCACACCUUGGGUGACUCACCAGUGCCAGGUAAUGGUUCUGAGCCUGCUCAGCUCCUGUGCCAGCACAGGAGGUGAUGGACAACCAGGGAUAGUGGCGGAAGAUGUGCUGGAAUUCCUGGUUUUUUCCUUUUUUAUUUCUUUUUUUUUUUCUUUCCCUUUUUUCUUUUUUUUUUCCCUCCACUGGUGAUGGUCACAAAGGUACAAUAGACACUGAGGCACCCAGGUUUUAAGGAGGGAGGGAAGCAAAACUGUAACAUGCUGGAAGCUUUUGAGCUGUAGAAACUGGUGCUUUGCUUUAUGUAAUUUGUUUGUGAAGUGUUUAUUUUUAUAACAGAUCAUAUUGUUGAACACAUGGUUCUUCAAAUCUUACAAACUGAUCCGUGAGUUUUAAUAUUUGGUUGAGAAGUGGACGUUCAUCUGUUGGGGGGAGGUGAAAAUGAAGCAGAUGGAUAUUUAAAGGGACACUGUCACGAGGUAGUUGCUGGCAUGUAGGAGAUGUUAGUUUGAGGGGGGGUCACACCUAUAUGUGGAAAUUAUAUAUUCUAUAUGUGUAUGAUCAAAUAGAAAAAUGUUCCCUGAGCUUUCGAAUAUUUUCCUACAGUUUUGGGAGGUUCAAAUAUAAGUUCUGAUCAAAUAGGAAGCAACACUAACUGUUCUGUUCUUGCUGUCCAAGGUGACUUUUUGUUUCUUAAGUGCUCUGAGGAGCAUCAGAGCUCCGAGAGCCGACAGUGUCCUCUCGAGGCCUCCCCAAAAAUCAAGUGUGCCCUCCUUUCAGACUCCCCACUUCAGUAGCUGACUGGCAUUUUGAAUGUCUUUUCAUUGAACUCUUUCUACUAAAAACAAACCACGACUCUUUCUAAAAGUCUAGUCAAGUCCUGCCACGUGCUGACUCUGUAUCAACCACUGUUGGCCCCGACUCCAGCCUUCCUGCCCCUGCAGCCGGUCCAGCAUGCUCAGUGUGACUGCAAACCACCGUUGUGCAUAUGCUUUGUAUAUUGGGGGCGAGGGGUUUUUUAUAUAUAUAUUUUGGGAGGGGGGGGAGGGGGUAGCGGGGUGGGACAGAGGAAAUCCUCAAAUCAGCUUAAGCCAGAACUUAAAUGUGUGUAAAAGCCCCCGAGGUCUGUGGUGUGUGAGUGCGCGGGUGUGAGUGCGCGCCUGGGAGCGUCCGACAUCUGAUCCCCUUUGUGUUCACGAGCUUUGUGAGUUUGAACUUUCUUUUCUUUAAAUUUUUUUCCUUUUAUUUUUGUUUUGUUUUGUUUUCGUUUUUCCUCUCCUGCAGAAGCAAUUGUUAAUGGAAUUUAAAACUGUAAAUAAGAGGCUACGUUAAUUUUUUUCGGUUUUAACAUCGCAGCAAACCCUGAAUAAUCAGUUGGAAGGUGUAGAGAGAGGAGGAGGAGACUCCAGGUAGGGCCUUGGGCAAGGCAUCAUUCUGUGGUAUGCAAUGAAUAUUUGUCUUGAGUAUUUGCAAUCCCCUGCUGAGCUUUUCUAAAAAUCAGGCUCUUUGCAGUUCCCCUCCCCAUCCUCUUUAAUUUUUUUUUUUUGGUUGAUCUCAAGAGCAGACAGAAAAGGGGCAGCUGCAAACAGUCACCUCUGGGCCCAGUGGGGUUGGCAACUCUUGCAAUACCUUGACAACACUGAGAUAAGCAUGGUACUAGGAGUUAAGUCUGAAUGUAACAUUAAUGCUUUAUUUAAAAUAAAAAGAAAAACCCCACACUUUCUUCUGGUUUUGUUUUUUCAAGGGGUUGAAGUGAACAUGACUGUCGACCAUGUUCGUGAAUUUAUAGAUGCAACAUUCAUUGGUAGAAUUGUGUGAUGGUCUUUUGUGCUACUUAAUUUUACAUAUUCCAGUCUCUGUAUGUACCUGCAAAGAAAGAAAAAAAAAUAACAAAACCCUGCUUUGCUUUUAUUGAAAGGGUUCCCAGGACUGCAUACCUGCUCCUGAGCUCUGUUUUAAGUAUGUGUAUCCUUUGCUUGUAUUUUGUAUUAAAAAAAAA